AUAUGUAUCCCGCUGGGUAUGGCUCGUAGUCAAUCUCUGGAGGAUAUGGAGGAUCAUAGGCUAGGUAACCUUUUCACUAUUCUUUUAGAAAGGUACCUUCAAAUAACCAGGUCUCUUCAUCCUUAUCGGGCACUCCCACAAGAGACAAUUCUUUUUAGCCUCUAAGAGACAACAAGAAGAGCCUAACCAGGACCUUGAGA
RNAcentral lists this long non-coding RNA (200 nucleotides) under Oryza brachyantha (malo sina). RNAcentral describes it as "long non-coding RNA (OBRA_LNC003647)". Lineage: Eukaryota; Viridiplantae; Streptophyta; Magnoliopsida; Poales; Poaceae. The record is from RNAcentral.